Molecule: long non-coding RNA, 2103 nt
Filed under: Canis lupus familiaris (dog)
Lineage: Eukaryota; Metazoa; Chordata; Mammalia; Carnivora; Canidae
Description: lncRNA (ENSCAFG00000056008.1)
Source: RNAcentral
UUUUUGAGAAGAUUUUGAAAAUACCUGUCAACGUGUUAAAUGAACAUGAACAUUUCAUGCAGCAAUUCUUCUAGGCCUUAUGCAAAAUACCUGCAAAUGUAGAUGUACGAUGUUAUCUCAUACGAAAUAUUAUUCACAAGUGUGUAAGUGCCUUCCUGGUCAUUACAGAAUUAUGAGUAAUGAUUUUUUAAAAAGUAUUGCUUUUAAAAAGAAAAAGACUAAAAAAAAAAAAAAAAACGAUGUCCAUGAUAUAUUUAUUGUGUGAGGUUGGAGGUACUCAUCGAUCACUCCUGCUCUCUGAUUUCUAACAUAUUCGUAAUGAAUCCUAAGAACCAACUAACAUCAGUUUUAUUGAAGUGGGAUAAGAGGACUCAGUGGUGUGUCCAACCACGUCCCACAAACCCAGACUUGACUUUUCACAAGUUUUGAAAAAGCUUGUUUUGAAAUUCUAGUUUUGAAAAAAAAAAUCCUAUAAUUAUAAUACUAAUUCUUCUGGAAUCUUGAAGCAUGGAAAGAACAGGGCCCCCGGUAGCCUCAUAGGAAAUCGUAUGAGCAGCCUAGGGUCACCACCGGGCAGGUGGCAGAGUCGAGAUUAAAAGUCUGAUUUGACAGCAGGACCGGCGCCUUCCCCCUUCAAGCCUUUCCUCAGCCCCACAGAUCAGAUCCCUGCAGUAAGCCCCAUCUCCAGGGAACACCGCUCCUGGGACCAAGUCUUUGGGAUGCCCUCGGCAAACUCAUCCCUAACUUUAACAUGACCCUUUGACCUUUCCCACUGUCACCUCGGCUCUUUCUCUAAAACACUGAAGCCAAAGUGGUCCCUCCAGCUCCUCUUCCCCGCUCGGGAAAUGGCACCAUGUCCUUGGAGCUGUCCUAUCGCACCAGGCAGGCCCUGCCCUGGAGUCAGCCAGGACACUUAUGACUCCGUCCCUUGCUCCCUCCCCCACCUGCCUCCUCUCUUAAGAAGCCCAGAAUCUUGUUGUGUGUGUGUUUUUUUUAAGAUUUUAUCUAUUUAUUCAUGAGAGACACAGAGAAAGAGAGAGAGGCAGAGACACAGGCAGAGGGAGAAGCAGGCUCCAUGCAGGGAGCCUGAUGGGGGGCUCGAUCCCAGGACCCAAGGAUCACGACCUGAGCUGAAGGCAGAUGCUAACCACUGAGCCACCCAGGCGCCCCCAGAAUCUUAUUUUGCCUUCAGUUGCAGAACUUGCCCUCCAUCAAUGUCCUAGGCUUCCAUUUUUCCAUUCCUAACUACCUCAUGACAUUUUUGUUUUUCUCCUGCCCGGUGGGUUUCAAUGCCCUGGUGCCUUGUGUUUCAUGGUACCUCCUUAGAAACACAGGCAGCCUGGCCUGGACCCCCAGCUCCUUUAAGACCUGGGAAAUCCAGUCUUUUGCCUCAAUUUUCCAGUGUGUACAGUGGGAGUGGGUAGUCACAGUGUCUCUCCUGGGGAAUUCAUCCUGAAGAUCAAAUGAGAUAAUGCACCUCCCUGUACAUUGAAAGCUCUCCCUAGAGGUUAAAAUCACCAUCUUAAAAAAUAAUAAUAAAUAAAUAAAUAAAUAAAUAAAUAAUAAAUAAAUAAAUCACCACCUUAUUGCAGAAUGGUUGCGCAUGGCAACUUCGGAGGGAUCUACCUAUAAUGGGUUUCUUGACACAAGGCAGAAGGCUGUAAAUAAAUGUGAGGCACUUUCUCACCCCAACCUCAUAGUUGGACAGCAGCACAGUUUUCUGUUUGAGAACUUUGUGGCCCUGACACCACUUGCAGUGCCCCGAGGGAGGUGGAAGGGGGCUGGGGGGUGGGCAGCCAGAGAGCAACUGAGAUCCCCAGGGAAGGAGAGGAGUUUCUGGAAGGAGAUUGGAAAAAUGGCAAAGGAAAACUUUCUGGGCUCCGAUAUUGCCAAAAAACACAUCCCAAACCCUGCUCCUCCCUCUUUCCAAGCUGUCCCCCAAAGUCUCUCCAAACCCCGCCAUGUGCCAAAAGGCAGUUUACCUGGCCAGUCAGCACUGCCCACCCAACUGAUGGACACCCCACCCCCCACACCCCAUCAGCCAGCUUUGCAAGAACUGGGAUCUCAGGGCCCCGACAACCUGCCUGCCUCCCGUAAGUGGUG